This 280-nucleotide ribosomal RNA is filed under the name uncultured bacterium. Its description in RNAcentral is "partial 16S ribosomal RNA". It matches the Rfam family "Archaeal small subunit ribosomal RNA", at positions 456 to 735 of the family's 1478-position model. The record is from RNAcentral.
UGCCAGCCGCCGCGGUAACACCAGCGCCACAAGUGGCAACCGCUUUUAUUGGGCCUAAAGCGUCCGUAGCCGGUUCUAUAAAUUUCCUGUGAAAUCGUUGUACUCAAUAUAACGACGUGCAGGAAAGACUGUAGAACUAGGGACCGGGAGGCGUCAGAGGUAUUCUGGAGGGAGCGGUAAAAUGCUAUAAUCUCCAGAGGACCCCCUGUGGCGAAGGCGUCUGACGAGAACGGAUCCGACGGUGAGGGACGAAAGCCAGGGGAGCGAACCGGAUUAGAUA